GGCUGCCCUGGCUCAGUUAUCACAGUGCUGAUGCUGUGUGCUCCAAAGGUACAGUACUGUGAUAACUGAAGGAUGGCAGCCA
Molecule: microRNA precursor, 82 nt
Organism: Cavia aperea (Brazilian guinea pig)
Lineage: Eukaryota; Metazoa; Chordata; Mammalia; Rodentia; Caviidae
Product: microRNA 101-1
Source: Ensembl